This 429-nucleotide ribosomal RNA is filed under the name Acidobacteriota bacterium. RNAcentral describes it as "Acidobacteria bacterium partial 16S ribosomal RNA". It matches the Rfam family "Bacterial small subunit ribosomal RNA", at positions 355 to 776 of the family's 1533-position model. The record is from RNAcentral. Lineage: Bacteria; Pseudomonadati; Acidobacteriota.
UGGGGAAUUUUGGUCAAUGGGGGAAACCCUGAUCCAGCCAUCCCGCGUGUGCGAUGAAGGCCUUCGGGUUGUAAAGCACUUUUGGCAGGAAAGAAACGUCAUGGGUUAAUACCCCGUGAAACUGACGGUACCUGCAGAAUAAGCACCGGCUAACUACGUGCCAGCAGCCGCGGUAAUACGUAGGGUGCAAGCGUUAAUCGGAAUUACUGGGCGUAAAGCGUGCGCAGGCGGUUCGGAAAGAAAGAUGUGAAAUCCCAGAGCUCAACUUUGGAACUGCAUUUUUAGCUACCGGGCUAGAGUGUGUCAGAGGGAGGUGGAAUUCCGCGUGUAGCAGUGAAAUGCGUAGAUAUGCGGAGGAACACCGAUGGCGAAGGCAGCCUCCUGGGAUAACACUGACGCUCAUGCACGAAAGCGUGGGGAGCAAACAGG